This 729-nucleotide ribosomal RNA is filed under the name Triticum aestivum (bread wheat). Its description in RNAcentral is "partial small subunit ribosomal RNA". Lineage: Eukaryota; Viridiplantae; Streptophyta; Magnoliopsida; Poales; Poaceae. The record is from RNAcentral.
AUGGAUCUUAAUGUUCACCUUCGUGCUUCUGAUGGUGAGCCCUUGUCUGAUCCGACUCGUUAUCGUCGUCUUGUUGGGAGUCUUGUCUAUCUCGCUGUGACUCAUCCGAAUAUCUCCUAUCCUGUCCAUAUCCUGAGUCAGUUUGUUUCUUCUCCUACUUCGGUUCACUAUAGUCACCUUCUUCGUGUUCUACGAUAUCUUUGUGGCACAAUAUCUCACCGUCUUUUCUUUCUUCGUUCCAGCUCGUUACAGCUCCAGGCCUAUUCGGAUGCUGCCUGGGCUAGUGAUCCUUCGGAUCGUCGUUCACUUUCUGCUUAUUGUGUCUUUCUUGGUGGUUCUCUCAUUGCCUGGAAGAGAAAGAAACAAACUGUUGUUUCCCGUUCGAGUGCAGAGGCUGAGUUGCGAGCUAUGGCUCUUCUCACACUAGAGGUGACUUGGCUACGAUGGUUACUUGAGGAUUUUGAUGUUUCUGUUACUACACCUACUACUCUCUUGUCAGAUAGUAUAGGUGCUAUCAGUAUUGCAUGGGACCCUGUGCAGCAUGAGCUUACCAAGCAUAUUGGUGUUGAUGCUUUCUUUGUGCGCGCUGGUGUGCAGGACCAUGUUAUUGCUCUUCAGUAUGUGCUUUCGGAGUUACAGCUGGCGAACUUCUUCACGAAGGCCCAGACUAGAGCGCAACAUAGAUUUUACUCUUCAAACUCAGUGUUGUGGAUCCACCAUGAGUUUGAG